ACUGUCGUGUUCGUCAGUAAGGGUGAUCUUGAUUGAGCUUUGCAGUGCCAGCCUGUUCGAAGUUUCGAGGAUAGUGUGUUCGACGUUUGGAGGACUGCCUGGUGCAUCGGAUAGGUUGCAUGUCCGUGCAACGUGUGCUCCAUAUGUGUGUGUUGGAAUGAGUGAAUCGGGUAUGAUUUCUUUUUCGGGAAACGAUGAUGUACUGGAUGCAAUUUAAAGGUACGUGCAAGCCAAUAAAUUUUCGUGUUUCAUGGUCGAUAUCCUUGGAGCAUUUUCUUCCUUUCAUUCUCUUUUUUGCGAAACCUGGAGGUCAUUUUUCUGUAGUUUCUGUAAGGGAACUCGGGAGGUACAAUGUAUCUAGCGUAUUAGUGGGUACAAGUAACCCUUCAAUACGUUCUGUACACUGUGGCUCCUGGCGUUCGCAGGAAUGUCGUACGAGUUGUUUCAGGGGGCACGGGGCACAUGCAGCUUUCGCAGGCACCGCAGAACACAGUCAGAGUCAAUAAACACAGUGCCCAUUCUCAAUUGAAAAUAGUCAAUAACCAGUCCAUAAAAAGGCGAAUAAGAGUCAGUGAAUACAGUACCUAAUCUCAAUCGAAAACAGUGAAUCACAAGUUAAUAUAAAGACACCCGCCAAUUAUUAAUAAGAAAACGAUAACAAUCAUCACCCACAGAUUAAAUGUAAAUUGACAUUUCACUGGCAUACGUUGACUUUAGUCAAUUGAAAGGAGACGUUUAUUUUCGUUAGAGUGGCAUAUUACAGGUACACUGCAUCCCGAGGCUACGCCAGGAUGCUAACCAGACAUGAUGACAUGAGACCAGUGGCUGGUAUUACAGGUGAGAGAGAGAGAGAGAUUAUGGUUUUAAUGGCACAAAGGCCAACAAAGGCCAUAGAGCGCCAAAACUACGAGUCAGAGCACAUCAGGAGCUCUUCCUCUGGAAUGACGCCUUUUACGAUGUUGAGUGUCUUGUGCGGAGUGACCGUGACAGAACUUUAGCAGUUGCAAAUGGAGACAGCUUUGACAGUGACUUGAUCGAUUCAUCUGCGUGUAUGACAAGGACUCUAGGGAACCAUGCUGGCUGUUUCUGGUAGAAAAACUCGGUUGCUGGAUUAUGUUCGGUGCAGCGCCUCUUCAGGCGCCGAUCAUGGGGGUUUUUAAGGGGUUUGUUUGCCAUAUGUGUUGUGUGUGUGAUUCAGUGCGGAGGCCGUGCCGCCCACCACCGAGCCCAACCAGGGGAUCGUGCUCCGCACGGUGGCACGUGCCGUCACACUAUACCCAGGCGCAGGCGGGAAGCUCUGCACGAGGUUGGCCCUUGCCGCCGCAGCGGCUAAGCUGGAUAGCCCUAGCCGGGCCUUCCAGGACCACCCGACUAUGGGAAGCUGGGGCCAAAGCGGUGUGUUGCUUUGACGGAGGGGCCUUAAGGGUCCUAAACAUCCUCCGGGGCCACUCAACCGCCAGGGUCCCCUACAGGUGCAGAGUAGACUUAUUUAGUAGACUUAUUUUCACGUACAGUCAGGGAUUGGAAUAGCAUAGCGGACAACGCCGUGUCGGUUGAAACCGUUGAUGAAUGUUUCACAGGUUCAAGACCACCUAGCGUCAUUGUAAUCCGUUAUGUCAUUGUGUGUACCAUUAUUAUCUUGCUUGCUGAGCGAAUUCAGCACGACCUUCAUAUUGGUUGGUUAAAAAGGUGACCUUUCCUUGGGAAAUUUCCGAGUUCAGUUCGCAAACAUUUACACAAUUAAACUUACGAUACAUGACAUCUAUACCAUGUGGCAAAAACGUAAUACGAACAAAUGCCGUUGACUGCAUGACUGUAGGUGGCGUAGUUUUUUUUUUAAUUAUAAUUCAAUGACGCGUUUUCUGGGACACCCUGUAUAAUUACCGUAUUCUCGUCAUUUGCCAUUUGUAGCUAGCAUUUAUGUCACCGCUUAAGUUCCAAUAAUUUGCAUUGUUUCAUGUUUGUGUUUUUUUCUUCUUGUAUCGAUGUACCACCACUCCUACUUGGACCCACCGAAGGAGGCCAAUAGUAUCAAUAAAUAAUAAUAAUAAGAAUAAUAAUAGUAAUAAUAAUAAAGCUAAUAGGAGAUAUGCGAAAUGAAGCGCCUUCUCUUGCCCGUCAGCGAAAACGCACUCGCGCCAUUUUCAUCAGGGCAAUGCUUGGAAAACAUGGUUCCGCCAUUCAGUGUACGCGGUUUGCGUUGCCUGUGAGUAAGUUUGAUUGAAUAGUGACAGUUGAAGAGGGCUUCUGUUGUUUUGUCCUUCCAUGUGCAAGUGCCCCAUCUACCACUACGUUAGCAAAAGUUUGUUGUGUAGCAAGACAACAGCCGGCAGCCUUGUAUGAACGACACUGCAAGCUUUCUGUUCUACCUAUAGUAAAUAACCAUCUGAAUACCACAACUUUUUGCCGUGAAAAGGGCUAUGUAUAUCGAAACUCUGAAAAGCGAACACAACUUUAUUUAGUCGUGAUCAAGAUGCCACCGCAUUGCUGCGUCAUGCUGUCCUAGCAGAGAGGAAUAAAACAACAAAAUGGUGCGUAUUCAUAAAUCGCUGUAACUGAACACAAGGAAGCGCCUGAAAUAGUAUUCUGUAGUUGAAGCUACUAUCGGACCAGCCUAAAGCUUAACGAGUAAAGUUUAACAUUCUCGGUUAUUAAGAAUUAAUAUGCAGUCUCUCAUAUCUGGCACUUUAGAAUCGGACGUUUGCCGCUCGUUCAUGCACCACAGAUACAGAACCUGACAGACAGACCUAAUGUGAUAGCAGUGUUCCUGAUUUGACUCCCUUGUAAAAUCACUGAACUUAUGGAGAAUUAUGUGAGGUGAAUUGUCACGUGUGAUAGAUAGGAAUAUUGCUUUGCAAAUGUACCUAGUGUGCUCUCAUGACGUACAUCCUACUCCAAAUAAACAUAUGCACAAUAA
Molecule: long non-coding RNA, 2917 nt
Organism: Ornithodoros turicata
Lineage: Eukaryota; Metazoa; Arthropoda; Arachnida; Ixodida; Argasidae
Exons: 4
Source: RefSeq, a predicted model, not a curated record